RNAcentral lists this ribosomal RNA (157 nucleotides) under Circinaria weii. Its description in RNAcentral is "5.8S ribosomal RNA". It matches the Rfam family "5.8S ribosomal RNA". From Rfam's summary of the family: 5.8S ribosomal RNA (5.8S rRNA) is a component of the large subunit of the eukaryotic ribosome. It is transcribed by RNA polymerase I as part of the 45S precursor that also contains 18S and 28S rRNA. Lineage: Eukaryota; Fungi; Ascomycota; Lecanoromycetes; Pertusariales; Megasporaceae. The record is from RNAcentral.
AAACUUUCAACAACGGAUCUCUUGGUUCUGGCAUCGAUGAAGAACGCAGCGAAAUGCGAUAAGUAAUGUGAAUUGCAGAAUUCAGUGAAUCAUCGAAUCUUUGAACGCACAUUGCGCCCUCUGGUAUUCCGGGGGGCAUGCUUGUUCGAGCGUCAUU